Molecule: long non-coding RNA, 5666 nt
Organism: Aquila chrysaetos chrysaetos
Lineage: Eukaryota; Metazoa; Chordata; Aves; Accipitriformes; Accipitridae
Exons: 5
Source: RefSeq, a predicted model, not a curated record
GAAGGCUGCUGUUCUUUGCUUUCUAAUAUACAACCUACCCCUGAUAUUUCACAACUUCUCACCUUGCUGAUCAUGUAACUCCUGGAAACAAAGUGCUUUUGGGGGAGGACACAUAUCUGUAGGUCAAAUAAAGAGGGUCUGAAGAACAACUACAACAACAAGGAAGCAAUGCAGAAACAGAAACCUGAAUCAAUAUUCAGUCAAGACCAUUAAUUAUGCAACUCAUUUUGUACUGAUGAAGCUACGAGAGCGGUAGCAGCAGCGUAGGAGGAAAGCAGGGUGCGGUGGCAGCAUCAUGACCUGUACAUAAAGGAAUUUAGCCCCUGACACAGAGAGCGGGUAUAGCAGCGUGCAGGAGCCAGGCACAGCCUACGUAUACACAGCUAUAGGCACCUCAUCACAUGGAUUGCCUCUGUCAUCUGCAGCAGUUUUGCAACUGUGUUUUUUCCGCCCUUUGCAUUGCCUACCUGCAGUGAUGGUACAUCUAGCUACAGUCUGCUCUAUGUAUAUACUGCAGAUCACUGUCUUUCCCAGGGUACAGCAACCCAAGCUUCCUUGUUGGUGUCUAAUAAAGCUGCCUAUUAAUUCCGAUUGCACCGGAGGCUCACGUAUGGCGUUGCCUUCUGUCUAAGGUCACCCUUCGUCUCGCUCCCUUCGGCGAAGGGCCGCUGCAUGGGAACUGCUGGUGUCCCUCUAAGGACGGACUGUACUCGGAUGGCUGUAAGGGAAAGGCCUGCCUUCUUCCUUCACUCCUUCUGUAAGCUAUCCAUGCUGCUUCUGAAUUGCAAAGGUGAGCAGAAAAAAAUAUUGAAAUUGCUGAUUUUGCCUUACCUGGAAAUGCUCUCAUUUGGUCAAGUGUUCCACUGUGAAAUGACUCUCUUCAUUUCGAGCAAGGGGAUGGUGAAUGGCUAGGCUGGAGAAGAUACUUGCCCUCAACUGACCCACACGUAAGCAAGAAGCAAACACUUUGCACUUCAAUGUAUAUGUGGAGACAACAUAGGCAGAGAACUGACAGGCUCGUCUUUAAUUUGCUCAAUAACCAGAGAACGGUACAUAUUGUUACAGUAGCCUUUUGUGCCAUAAAAGCAGGGAGAACAAAUACCAUGUUACAUGUAACUGAAACACAGUGGUCACAUUCACAGCUGUGCCCUUCCCAAAAUCUUUUGCGCUACAACAGUGAGCAUUCUGUGGAGCUCGAGAUAACACAGUAAAGGAAAUGUUGGGAAGUGCUGGCACUCUUACAAAAGAUAAAAACAAAAAGAAAAGGGGGUUUCUUGCAUUACCAAUUGACAUUUUGCAAAGUAACUCCUCUUGAAAAGGAAACCGAAACUUCUGUUAUUCAAAUAGUUUUGUCCCGGUGAACUGAUUCAGACAAUUUGCACUUAAUUCAAGGAAUCAUUUUUACUUGAUAUUUUUUUGGCCAGUAAAUAAGAAUAUAUUUGUUGCUCUGAGUAUUCUGAAGUAUGCUGAGUACAACAUGUGAAGACCUAAGAAAUGGCAUUCUGACAAAGUUAAAUUAGUCUACAGGCUAGCUGUUCGGACGUUGUACGUACCUUUAUUCUUAUUUCCUUUCAUUUUUCUCUUAUUGUUAGCACUCCCUGCUGUCCAGGUCACGAAACCAGUUACUGCAUUUCUCCUCUCCUCAUACCUAAAGCCUCCACAAGUCUUACAACUGUGUUUUUCUCAAAAGUCAGCCUUCUUCCUAGUCAGCACUCUCUCAACACUAGCCUAUGCACUGGUUCUUUCAAGAUCUUCCCCUUUUCUGACCAAAUCUUUUCUCCCCUCUUCGGUUCCAUCUGUCCAAACUAUUGCCAUCAAUACAUUUCUCUUUUCUCACCACUCCAAGAAUGUUCCUGUACUUCUAAAAUCUCAACAUUGACUCAUUUCCCCCAUAAAAUGGAAGCCUGCCUCUUUUCUCAGCUCUGAUUAACUCCAUUACUGCUUAGUUCUGACCUCACCUUCUCUUGGAAAGCCUUUUCGUCUCCAGUGCUGGGAAUGCCUGUGUAUGGGAAGCAGGGGACACUGUUAUUGAUUUACUUCUUUAACUUUCUUCAUCAAAAGGAUGCUCUGAGUCUAAAACGCAUGGUAGAUGAAAUUCCUUCGAGUCACCUCCCUCAUUUGUUUGAGGAAAUGCCUGAAAAUACUUAGAAAACAAUCACCAAAAAGCGUUUAGAACAAAGAUUCAGCACAACUUAAAAGAUUGCGUGCGGUUUCUACCAAAUGAAUGGAGCUGUCUUGAACUUCUGUUAUAUAUCCUUGAGUUUCAGUCCCUGGUUAGACCAGCCGAGGGUUUGCUCCUCGUUGUGAUUAACUGGCCACAAUAUCCAGCAGGCUUUGGGCUGAUUUAGGAAAAACUGAAGCACAUCGUAUUAUUCCCAUUCCUUUUCAUUGCCUCUUCCUGUUCCAGUUCUUAUGGGAGCUGUGGUACCGGAUUCAUAAGAGCAGCAUGUAGUCACGUGGGUUUGUAGCAUUUUGGAGUUGCCUGCAUUCUCCGAUGCCUUUAUGGAGCUUGCUUAAUGCAAGGGGAGCACAGCAGAGGAGCGAAUGCAGACUCCUGUGCUUUCGACUUCGUUUGUAGACCGGUGAGCUCCUAUGGAGUAUGUCAGCUGAGAUCAUAGUUAAUUCAUAAUCUUGACGAUAUUGAGGUUGUCAUAGCCAGCCUUUCCAGAUGCAUAUAUUUCUCUUGAAUUUAUAUGACAAGGUAACACUAAAAUCAGACCUCUUACCACACCAGAGAAAUGCAUGUAUUUCUCAGAGUCUAUCACCACUGAACCAAAAGUAACAAACCUCUGGGAACUCUGGAAGGGGAUAUAUUUAUCCUUUCUGAGUCAUCCAGUCACACAGGGCUCAAGGCUGGUGCUAAAACUUCCAGAAACAUUUGGAAAGCAACCACAGAAAUCAAUCAAACAAACAAAACCCUGGAAAAUAGGUAAGAGGAAGCUAGAGAAGCACAUCGGAGCCAGCACUCACUCUUCAGAACAUCCCUUCUCUGCUCCUUCAGCUUCUGCCACACAUGCCGCCUCCUCCAGCACACCACCUCCAACAUUGCUGGGUUUUUUGCUCACACUUUGGAGGCCUGAUGCCUCCUGAAACUCUGCAAGUGAGGUUGCAAUGACCCUAAAGCUGUCUCUCAAUUAAAUGAUUGAUCUGCUUAUAUUUGUCAAUACUAGUUCAGCUGAAGGAGUUCAACUGCUCCUACGUGUGAAAUCAGCAUUGUCAGGAACAGAUAUAUACCCUUGUACAGACCAGAUUUCAUGAGCAAUUUUCCAAAAGUAACUUGAGUUUCUGGGGUCUGAUCAGGUGAGCUGUGUUGUUUCUCUUCCUUUACCUUUCCCUGGAAGGAGCUCUGUCAACAUGAUGUAUCUCCCUGGCAUCCUACCUACGGCUGACCCUUCUAUGUGGGAGAUCUCUUUCUCAUUCGUCCUCAAAGGAGAGUGGGGAGGAAUUUAAUGAGGUCUGGGUCUGUAUGAGCUUCAGAGAAAUUUGUAACAGUUAUGUCUGUAUUUGUCACUCCUGUGUUUCAGACCAGAGCAGUUUUUUGUUAAUGUUGGCAACUCUGAACAAAGAAAGUCUUAAAGUUAUUAAAUGUAAACUAUGUUAGCCAGCUGAUGGGGAGGAAAAUCCAGACCACUUUAGUGGCGUCUCAGAAUCAUUCAAUUUUAAUUCUCAAAAUUAACAUCAGAGAUAUUUUUGCUGUCUGGAAAAUUUUCACCAUUUAAUUUCUUUUUUUGUGCUUAUCUGUGCCUCACUGUACUGUCUAACUGCAACAUAACUGUGGAUGUGUGUGUGCACACCCCGAUAUAUAGUUAUUGACAGCAUUUGGGAUGUCAGCUCCUGGAUGUUGUAUGUAGCAAAUACGGAUAAGCAGUUUACAGCCUAGUGGGGUCUUAGAGAAUUUGGUCUGGGGGCUCUUGUGGCUCUAGUGCCCAGAAGAAAAGUGCAGUCUGGAAAAAUCUUUUCUGUCUCCCUCUACAAAAUGACUUUGGAGGUUCAGCAGUAAUCUUGGCAGACUGUAAGCUGGCCUGUCUGCUUAAGAAUAUUUACAGCUCAACUUGUCCAAGCUGUUCUCUUUACCACAUCCACCAGGUGAUCUACUGAAAGCAAGGGAAAGAAUCCCAUUAACUUGAGUAGCUGCUGGGAUAAGUCUUUAUUCAACUCAGACGGGAAGGGUGAUUUGCCUACAGAUAAAUAUAACUGAUGACAAAACCAACAAUAAUCCAGCUGGUCAAUGGCUCAAUUUUGAGAAGGAGAAGUACUCCCUUCCCUUUUUUAAAAAUAUAUUGUAACUAUGUGGUAAUGCUCCUAAAUGUUACAGUUUAUAAUACAUUUACUGAAGGAUUCUGGACACUUUCAGUUAAUCACUGGUCCUUCCUUAGUUAGAUCUGAGCAUUCAAAAUGUUAUUGCUUAGAGCAGUGGUGUUUGCUGACUUUGUCACUGAAUUCCUGAAUUUGGCAUCCCAUUGACAUUGUUUCAGUCAUUAACUGCUUAAGAUAGCAACCUUCUGCAUGCUUUUCUGUGUUCUGCUCUUCCUUCUCACCUUCCAGUCCUUGCCCCAUUGACUAAUCCCUUCAUGGCUUGAAGUAUCCUUUUUUUUAAUAAUACCUAUCAUUCAAAUCCAUGUCAUGCAAGUCAGUGGCAAAAGGUGUAAUUCUUGGAGCGUUGCUGACUCUGCUACUUACUUGUAAGAAGAGCUGUGUAAAUAAUGUAAUAUUUUGUUUGCUAGGAAUUCAUAAAAAAUUACUCAGCUCAAAAUUAAAGUGCAUUAAAAAGAAAUCACUCUCUUCAAAAGCAUUAUUUUAAAGGAACAUUCUUAAUUAAAAAUACCUUCCAAUAAAAAAGAAGAAAAAUGUAUUAUUUAAAAUUCUGAGAUGAAACUUAUAUCCUAUUACAGCAUUUCUGUUUCCUUUCCAACGCAAACAAAUUAAACCAGCUCAGUUUUGCUAAGCCUGUAUUUUUGUCCUUGCCACACACACACGCACACAAAGAUUAAAAAAAUCCCCCCGCAUUAAUUUUUCACCUAGUUCUCCCUGUAGUGCUUCUAGAGGUAGGAGUUAAGUGGCCAGCAAUGCCUCCUAGUCUGUCAGGAGUAAUGCUUUUUUAGGCCAGAGAGAAGUUCUGGUCUCCUGCAUACCAAGAGCGUGACAGAAUCACUGAGCUAUCAAAUGAGUUAUUCUGCCAACAUCUUUCUGGUUCACUGAAGAGUAAAUUAAUCCUACGUAAGAGUGCUCCAGCAGGAGAAUAAGAGCAAGCACACACACUGCCAUAGUCAGGUAGUAAGGUGCUUGCCAGGAGUGUAAAUAAUGGAUAAAUAAUUAAUUUUCUUUGGGGAACCUUCAAGGAUCUACUUCUCUGAGUGCUUACGCACACAUGGUGGAACAACUGCAGCAAGGAACUGAGCAGGAGAGCUUCUCCAUGGAAAGAAAACAAGCCCUGGGGCAGGUUGCUCAGCAGCUGCACCGCAGCUCUUUACGACUCACUGGAGACCUGGGAUGUCUGGGACUGGCACCAGUUUCUGGAGUCAGCGCCGAUCAGAAGGUGUCUGGGAGGGAGCUGCUGCAGCAGAAGACAUGAGGACACAUCUUAGGCCACCGUCAUCACCUGGAAAUGAUAGGCUACAGCGACUGAGUCUCUGGCACGCCGACCAGGGGAUGUUACCAGCGCUUCU